UACAGAGGUCUCAAGCGUUGUUCGGAUUCAUUGGGCGUAAAGGGCGCGUAGGCGGCCCUCUUAGUCGCGUGUGAAAGCCCCGGGCUCAACCUGGGAACGGCGCGCGAAACGGGAGGGCUGGAGUUCGGGAGAGGAGAGUGGAAUUCCCAGUGUAGAGGUGAAAUUCGUAGAUAUUGGGAAGAACACCGGUGGCGAAGGCGGCUCUCUGGACCGAGACUGACGCUGAGGCGCGAAAGCGUGGGGAGCAAACAGG
Molecule: ribosomal RNA, 253 nt
Filed under: uncultured bacterium
Lineage: Bacteria
Description: partial 16S ribosomal RNA
Rfam family: Bacterial small subunit ribosomal RNA
Source: RNAcentral